Molecule: long non-coding RNA, 400 nt
Filed under: Physcomitrium patens
Lineage: Eukaryota; Viridiplantae; Streptophyta; Bryopsida; Funariales; Funariaceae
Description: long non-coding RNA (PPAT_LNC008894)
Source: RNAcentral
AUCAAAUUCAAAACAACUCAAAGAAAUUUCAAACAAACAAUAAAAUUCUUAAAAAAAUAUUAGAAUGAUCACAAAUUUUACUCAAAUAUAUGUCAAUUCAACCUUAAUUUAAUUCUAGUUAAAACCCUAUUGAAUUUCACUCAACUUUAGACCAAACCUAAUUAAAUCUUAAACCCUAAUAAUUCCUAAAUCCUAAGUCAAAUCCUAAACAAAUCUUAAAUUAAACCCUAUUCCAAACUCUAAACCCUAAACCAAAUCCUAAAUCUAACCCUAAACCAAACCCUAAUCCAAUCCAAAAUCCUAAACCAAACCUUAAAUCAAAUCCUAAUCAAAUCCUAAUCCAAAUCCUAAAUCAAAUCCUAACCAAAUUCUAAACCCUAAUCCAAACCCUAAUUCAAAC